UUUUUUUUUUUUUUUUUGUUAAAGAAGGGAAUACUUUCGGUUGCAACCAAAAAAGAAAGAACGGAAGAAAGAAACGUUUCCUUUUAUUUAUUAUUAUAUUAUAAUACUCACUUCUGUUCAGAAUUCCAGGUGUAUGGAAGUGACAAAAUGAUUGGGAAUCAACAUUCAACCCCAUACGCUUCGGCACCCGUUCCAAGACGGAUCUGAUGCCAGUGCAGCCGCCAACAAACCAUCUUACUACUGUAUCAGUGAGUUCGUUAAGCACAGGUUGACAAACCUGGAUGGGCGCUAAACUGAACACCUCAACAUGUGUGAUCUAGAAAACCUGUUUGGAUCACCUAGCACUAGUUGUUAGAUUCUAGACUACGUGGAUCACCUAUAUGAGUACGUGACUUGAGUCACUGUUAGUUUACAAGUUGCUGGAACUAACUGUUCGAUGCAUAAAGUUUAGAUGACUAAAGCUCGAUCCUAUGAUAUUUGAGUACAUUACAUAGUAUAGUUAUUAGAGCAUUUUCACCGGUUCUCCAUUAAUCAUCUAUCCCUAAUAUGUAUGUAUUGACUAGUCUGUUAUUAUAUUUGUAAAUAUUAGGAGAGUUGUUGCAUCAGCAUCCUAAUACAUUUUUUUCUAAUACUCGUAUAGAAGGUAGGUCUCAUAGGAGUAUAGUAAAAAGAUGACUGUAUUUGAGGUGGUUUCCAUGAUAUAAAAAAAUGGUAUUGCAAAAUUGUUGGAGCAAAAAAAAGCAUAGUUAUCCCUAAAAUAACAAUUUUAUGUGAAUAGUAAGAGGUAUUAAAAAACAGUUGAAGAUGCUUUUAGUCCACUUUAACUCCUCGGCCUGUUUGGAUCCAUUAGCAAUAAAAAUUAUCAUCUAAAAUUAGUACUAGCGGACCAAAUAGAUCUGCUAAGAGCAGCUCUAAAAGAUUGGCUAAAACUAUUAACCAAAUCUUAUUUUUUAGUUAUUUUGUAAAAUAGAAAACUUCUUAAAAAAAGAAGACGUCCCCAACACCCUUGCUAAUUUACGAAGUCACAUAGCGAGUGCCCGUGGUUGGCUAUAUAUAGCCACCGAAAAUUAAAGAAUAGCUAGCUUCCUAUUUUACAAAGUUAGCUGUUGGAGUCUGGUUUUUGCUAUACAAAAUUCUAAAAUAGCCUACACGGCAAAAAUAGCUAAGUUGUUGGAGUUGCUCAACUUGCUAAUUAUGGUGAAGGGCUACUAACAGUUAGUUCUAUUAGUAGGUUUAGAAUUGCUAAUAUGUGCUAAUAGUUCAUAUAUACCUUGAACUUACUCUCUAACCACAUAUUAGCAGGUGGAUUCAAACAAUCUCUUCCUAAUUAAGAAUUAGGUAAUGGAUAAAACAGGCCAUAACUGCUGUAUUAGCUGUCAGUUAUGAUGUGAACUACUCCCUCCAUCCCAAAUUGUAAGUCAUUCCAAGAAUCUUGGAGAGUCAAACUUUUGUAAUUUAACCAAAUUUAUAUGAUAAAAUAAUUAUUAUUAUGAUACUAACUAAGUAUCAUUAUAUUCUUCCUUAAUUAUAUUUUCAUAGUAUACUCACUUUACGUUACAAAUCUUAGUAUUUUUCUCUAUAAUUUUGGUCAAACGUGAAAAUGCUUUGACUCUCCAAGAUUCUUGUAAUGACUUACAAUUUGGGAUGUAGGGAGUAUCUGUUAGGGCACUCAUAAUGCAGACUUUAUCAUAGAGUCUAAAGUUAUUUAUUACCUCGAACAAUGUGGACUUAGAGUCUAAAUAAGACUUGGAGUCUUAUUUUUUCUACAUCUUUCUUCAAUAAAUAUGCUGCCACAUCAGCAAAAUACCAUAAAUAAUAUGUAAUUAAUUGUCUUGGACUCUAUAAUAGAGUCUUGCAUUGUGAGUGGCCUUAGUACACAUUUGGAUGGACUAGCGGUUUAGUCCUGGUAAUCAAACACGUCUGGCAGAAAAACCGAACGGACAUCAAGUCACCAAGUGCAGCACAAGACCUUCGGAGAUUGGAACAAAAGAUCUCUCCGCGCUGGAACCCGGAACCAGCAUCCGUGUGGUGUGGCUGCGACGCCGCGACCACCCAGCGCACACACGCCACUCCGAUUGCAACGCCGGAAAAUGACAGCAGACCGGAAGAAUAAUCGUGUGGCCGGACAUGGCCCUCACCGCUAUUAGAUUUCCACUGGGCUUGGGCCAGCCAGACUCAGACGCAAGCGAGCUCCCUGAACCACAAGCACACCCUCCAAAUUGCAAACUGAACGAAACGGAGGCACAACUAGUGUCGACUCUCUCUUUCCUUCUGAGAUCUUCUGAAUCAAAUUUCUGCGUCGUCACUGCUGCGAGAUUCAGGCCACGUAAACUCUUUCUUGUUUAGAGAGAGAGAAAGAAAGAGAGAAGAUUCAGAUUACAUGAGUGCAUGACGACCACAAAUACGCGGCUGUUACUUGAACGCUUACAGCACAUCGUGUUCUGCAACGGCGCAGCCAUCUACGGAUAAGCUUUGUGACGCCAAAACCGUGCCGUAGCAGGAAAACCACGCAGGCCGCCUCGCGGAAAACGCUCUCGUCGCUCGAAUUUCCGCGCUGACCUACACACGCGCCUGCACAGCACAGCACAGCACAGCUUGACAAGAAAAACUCGGCACCCUCGAAUUCAGAAAAAGAGGGAAAGGGAGGGAAAACAUCGCCUGCGCCACUAGAAAACCAGUGGUGGCAGACGAGCCGGGGGGAACGUGCGGCGGGGGAGGAGCAGGGCACACGACGGGGGUCGCCGUCGCCGUCGCGGUAGCGGGGCCGAGUCGUGCUCGUGCCGCGCGCCCGCCAGCGCGCGAUCAAAUUCUUGGAGGUGGAGGCGCGUCUGCGGCUGCGGUGGGUAGGAGGAGCGGUGGUCCAGGUGACGAAAAGGAUCGAUCGGAUCGCUCCGAGAUGGCGCAAGUGGCCCGACCGGUCCUGCUUUCUCGGCUGCAGCCAGGUCAGGGCGGGGAAGAUGGUCGUGGCCGGCCAUGGAUGCUCCACCGCUCUCCGGCCAGCCGGCGUCAGGGUGGUCCCCACCCGGGGAGAUUAACGGCUUACAGCUUUGCUUUCCUGGAUUCUCUUCCUAUCCAGAUAUCCUAUCCUUAUGGGGGGGUGACUGUGACGACGUGUCGAUGUUGAGAACAGUUUCGCGGCUUCCGAGUCCUCAGUCACUAGGAUCGAUUGUCGUCUUAGUCAGCAGACGGAUUUGCACAAUCGUUUUCGGCACUUGCCGUAGAUCCAUUAUUGCUAUUGUGUGGACUCGAACAUCAGGAGAGAUGGAAUUUUGUGGUCGUACUGAAACACUGGGCAUCAGCUGAGCCUGGAUUCGUAAGAACAACAUGUUGAAAAUAUCAUAGCAUCAGGCCUGAAAUAUCAAGCCAGUUGCAGACAAUCCAUUUCAAAGCCGAGCUACUGCAACAACCAAACACAAGUGGUCCUUACAAGGAGCAGUUAACAGACUCUCCUUGACAGUUUCAUGGGAGAAAAUUAUUGGCCGACCGGGAUUCAGCGAGCUAAAUUAAGACCGACACGCAUCAUGCUAAAAAGAUACAACAGCCGCCGUCGGAGUCAGACAUCCAGGUUAAGUAAUCGUCAAGUGCACCAGUCAGUGUAUCCGAAUUCUGGGAUCUCAAGGCGAGAUCGUCACGGAACGGAAUGCUAUAAAUGGAGCUGCCGCUUGGUGGGAGCACUGCUGAAACAUCACCUUCCUUGUCUGCACAGUUCGUCAGAAGACAUUUGUUUAUCAAGUGAUGGGUGCAAAGCAAACAUGACUAGUAGAAUAGAAUGGCAUAUGCCGUGUAUGGUCCUUUAAUCAGCGAGAGUGAAAAUGAAGUAGCACUAGUGAGCAGAAGGAUAAGUACACGUACCUUCUGGUUGAGCGCGUGGCGCGUCUAACUGGACCACUGACUGCUGAGUCCUCUACAACGGGAUCUCUGGUUUUCUUUGCCCUUGACCGUGACGCCCCUGCAUAAUACAUGAAAGAUGAGUUCCUUAAGAAACUUGAUGUGUUCGUGUUGUGUGGAUAUCAUGGCUGGAAUCAUGAGUCACCUUUGCGAACAGAUUGUGUGGACUGAAUCUCCUCAUCGCCACCUUCUGAUCCUGUAAGUGGGGCUGAUGUCUGAGAAUUCUCUGUGCUAGUAUUCGCACUGUGUUCUGGUGUGUUCUCCUUAUUUUCGGUGCUGCUAUCCACCGAAGGAUCUGCAACCGGAUCUCUGGUUUUCUUUGCCCUUAACUGUGACACGCCUGCAUCAUACAUGAAAGAUGAGUUCCUUAAGAAACUUGACGUGUUCGUGUUGUGUGGAUGUCAAAGCUAGAAUCAUGAGUCACCUUUGCGAACAGUUUGUGUUGAUUGAAUCUCUCCAGCGCCACCCGAUUCUGUAGCUUGGGGUGAUGUCUGAAAAUUCUCCGUACUAGUAUGGUCACUGCAUUCUGGUGUGUUCUCCUUAUGUUCGGUGCUGCUAUCCACCGAAGGAUCAACUACCUCGCUAGUUUCUUCUGCCACGGACACAUAAAUAGACAGGUCAGACCAUCCAUGCAAGAGAAACAGUGAUACUACCCUCUAGUGCACAGAACAUAAACAGCUAUAUAGCCUCACAUGGUCGAUUAUAGCAGUUAUAUAGCAUAGAGGAUAAGGAGCAUCAGGAGGAAAUGAGAACUCUUCUACUUACCUUCAGUAGAAUUCCCACUGUUCUGACUAACUUCCUUAGUAGCCAGAAAUUCAUCAAGUGAGCCAAUUCUCUGUCUGUGUGCCUCAGCAUUUUUGGUUGUUUCCUCCUGUUCUUUCUUUUCCUGAUGAACCUUGCUAAGUUUCUCCUCAAAUUCCUCAAUGCAAACUUUUAGCUCAGGUUUCGCAAACUUCUUGCACUGAUUGGUGGAAUCACCAUAGAUAAGUGAAAAAAAAAGAUUGUUCAUAAAUUUAGUGAUGCUUUAUUAAACCAAACUGAAGCCUACACAAACAUCAAGGCUAUGCUACCAACCUUUGAUAUUACGCUUCUGAAGUGGUUCAUCACAGAAUCUUCAGACAAUGCAUGCUCAAACAUCUUAAAAUUAUCGAUGAGUUUUUUCAGGCCCUUUUCAGUGAAGGUUAGCUGAGAAAGGCAAUAAGAGAUAUACUCCCACUGUCUGACAUCUGAAACACAUGCAAAGAAAGAGUCAGGUGUCUGAGAAAUGUUAAAAUGCAUGUCUUACAGCAUAAUUGUCUCGAGAAAACAAAGAAUUAAAUGGCUGAAACAAAGAAAUGAGUGUUAUAUAUAGCUAAAAUGUAGACAUCAAUCACGGGUGCAAGAGUGUCGAAAAAGAGCAACUUGAUCUCAUCUUAUUUCUUAUAUGUGCAAUGAUCUCUCCUUUCUAUUUUACAUAAUGCGGUAAUGUUUCACUCCUAUGCUGUUGCAAAUUUCUUACUCUUACCACCUUUUUGUUCACAAUAAAUUGCCACUUCCUCAACACUGAGGCAGGCUCUUACCCUAAGUAACUUAUUAACAUUAAGUACAAGCACCCACUUAGCUAGGUAUCAAACCAACUUUAUGCAAAUCAUGACUUCCUUAGUAUGCAUGCUGGUCAAAUGUGACAAGUACUAGCAAACAGAUGGGGUACUAUUUAUCCUAUUGAAGGCAUAAGCAUAGUACCAUUUACUCCAGCAAACCUAUUGCACAGCUUAUCCACAAGAGCUUCCAUUUGUUUGUCCUGGGAUCACAAUUGCAACAGUAUAUAGUUACUAACAAGUAAUGUGGAGUAUGCACAACAUGCAAAUGAGUGAAGCAUUAAACAUUAUACCUUCUUAAUUGAAUUAAUUAAGAACUGCAUAAUAUUGCAAAAGGUUUCUUCUUUCAGGUGUUGAUUGCACAGUCUACCCAAGAUAUCCGGAAGAAGAUUAUAAAUUGGGUUGCUUCCUUCAAAGGCCACCAAUAAAAAAGAAGCAAAUUUGUUAGAUAUAGAAGAGAAACUCUAGCAUUCAAGUUAGUCAACCAAUGUUUCUGACACAUGUUUCCAUACCUUUUUUUGACAACUCAUGAAAGAAGAGUUUGGCCAGGCUUGAUAUCCUCUCAUCUUCAUCUUCUAUUCUUACAGCCAUUUCAUUUAUAUACCCUUUAACCUACAAAAGAUUUUCAAAGUGACUGAAAAGUAACAUAAUGGUGGGAUGGAGAGGAGGAGGAGGAGGAGGAGGAGGAGGAGGGGAGAGAGAGAGAGAGAGAGACCUUCAUCAUAUCAUUCAAUAUAAGAUGAGAAAUGACCAGCACAGCGUUCUUCCUCACUGACACUGAAGGAUCACGUAACCGGGCAUAUAUAUACUCUGUCCAAGGUUCUAAGAGGUUUGGGAAGCGAACUGCUAAAUCACCAAGCGCUAUAGUGCAGUUGGAUCGGACAAUUUCAGAAGGUGCACUUUCAGCAACAGUAAACAAGAUUUGAAGAUUUGCUUCGCUGAAAGUUGAGUGUUAAUGUGAGGGAGUGCUUUCAUGAAAUGCUCAUUGGUCCACAAUAAUGAACAACUAGAGUCAUGCGAAAGAAAAAAAAACUUACCAGAACUCUGCAUCAAUGAUCAUUAGCCUGCAAAGAGCAAGCAUUGCAGAAGCUUGUAGGUCUGGGAACUAGAUUCAAAAGAGAAGAAAUUAGUAACUGUAGAUAGUAACAAGAAAAAAUGUUUAAAUGGAAUACAGGAAGCCCAGUUGACUAUAAACCUUUUGCAGCAAUGUAAGAUUCCUGCAGAGUUUUGAGAGAAAUGGCCCACAAUGUCCUAUGAGAUUCUUUUUAGAAGAACAGCAAACAAUUUCCUUUUCUGCUCUUUCAGCAAGGGACUCGAUUGCAAUAUCUAUGGUUGCACCAAGUCCCAGUUCGGCAUUUAUGCCUUGUGCCUGUUACACAAUAAAGCACAACCUGAACUUAACUGAAACAAUGACAAGUGAAAAGUGACAAGUUCAGAAAGGACAGAGAUUUAGCACUCAAGCCAGAAUUACCUCCGUACUUUUAGACACGUCAGACUGGAGAUCCACAGUGGACUGAGAUUUUUCAUUCUUCCGUAUCUGUUUCUGAACUUUCCUAACAGAAUUCUCAAUGUACACCAAAUGAUUUAGUGCUAUAUGGCUAAUAACAAAAAGAAAUCUACCCAGCUUUGAAGGUGAUACUGAUGACAGAGAGGCAUCAUUCUCAGUUUCAAUUCCAUUUGACACAUCCUCGUUUCCUAAAACACUGAAUACAGAACUGAGGGACUUCUUUGCAGUCUCAGUAGCAAAAAUUUCAGGAGCAGGGUGUAGGGUGUAGAUGGUGCUUAUAGCUUUAUCUGCAGCUCCAUACCAUAUUUUCUCAGGAAUUGAGAAGCUUGUUACCAAACCUUGCAAUGCAGCAAAUACUCUACUACUAGUAUUUAUCAGUUUGCCCUUGUCUUCAUCUGAUAAUCUCUGCAAAGCAAGACAUGCAGUUCUAGCAAGCAGAGGCUCCUCCUUAGCCCAGCGUCCAAACCCAAUGUCAAUAAUAUCUUGCAAGUGAGCACCCAAAAUGCUGGGAGACGACUUAGCAGCCAUACAAAGAAUUGAUAGAGCUCCACGGCUUUGCACUGGUCUGACUCCGUUUAUGUUAAAGCAAAAAUAGUCCCACAGUGCUGAUACCUGCAAGAAGCAACAGGUCAUAGAAAAUAUCCUCAGAAGCAACAUAAGAUAUCACCAAACUGAAGUAAUUUAAUCCAAAAAAAUGGUUAUAUUUGGGAAGAAGCUAUAUAUGACUGCAGUAAUCGAAGAAAGAAAGACAACAAAUCAGUAGACAUGGAAAAAUUCCAAUUUCUUCUGUAAUCCCAAUUCAUAUAUAUAGAGGUCAAUAAUUAGGAUCUUGAAGAAGCAAGCAUCUUAAUUGCUCCAAUCUGUAAAACUCAGGUGCUCAGUCAGUUUCAAAUGUGUUGCCACAUUUAUUUAUUCUUUACAACUGAAUUAUAUUUUAAUCACUGAACUGCUCAGUUACUUUAGCUGGAACUAACAAAUAAUCACAUUCAAAGUGGUAGCCAAAGCAAAUUGAUAGGGAAGAAGGGUGCACCGUGCUGGAUGAAAUUUCUGCUUUUGAAACUAAGGAACUAACUAAGCUCUCGAGAGCAGCGAGGUCACCAAUGCUACAAUCAAUGGCAAGGUCUAACAAACGUUUCGCCGUUUCUGUUGGGCUUUUCCUUGUGUAUAAAGUAAUGAAUGCACUCUCCACUGCUUCAUAUAUUGACUUAUCCUGAGAAAAUACCUGAAAAAUACAAAGGAUCAAGGAAUAUUAACAAAUAACAAAUACAUAACAAGCACAAAAACCAGAGAGUUUUUGGGAUAUUACCAGAGGUAACAUUUUCCUGAGAGCUGCUUCUGAUCCUUCGAUCUGAAAUUGUCUGCAUCUCAUCAGUAAAAGGAUGGUGUUCUCAACAUCAGUAGCUGAGGAUGAUGCCAACAACUGAACAAGAAUUGGCAUUAACGAAGUUAUACACUUUGAAAACCGCAGACCAGCUUCAAGUGAUGCAACUAAAGCUCUUAUUUGUUCCAAAUUUGUUAUAUCCACAAUCGUAGCAUCAUGAUCAUUCUGAUCCUGACUUGAUGCUAAACAGCUAUCACUGACACUUUCAUCUUGCCCCAGGAUCACUUCACCAGGCGAACAAUCGUUUGCAACCUCAUCUUUGUCUGGAUUUGAGGGCUCCAUUCCUUGUAAUUUUUCCUUGUACUUUUCUAGAGUUGCCUCAAAGGUUGCAGUCCUUAACUGAGGUCCAAAAGGGUUGUGUUGCAGCAUUGUGAUGAGAAGCUGUAGUGCUGAUUUUCUCACAAUAGCACUUUUGUCCUCCAGUCUCCCUGAAGCAACUGAAGCCACUUCAUUCCACAGGCCAAUUGAGAUAGAAUUUUCUUCACAAAGCUCAGACCACACCUGAAGCACACGACUCCUUGUGUAUGCUGACACAUCCCUACAGCGCUCAAUCAAAAUCUCUAGCAUAGCCUGCUUACUUCGAAGCCGAGCAUUGCUAUCACCCUCAACAUCCUUGAAAGCCUUUGCAGCCAGCUUUCCCAAAACUCCAACAAGAGCAUUUCUGAUCUUAUAUGACUCACCACCAAAGUGAGGUAUCAAAACACCAAUGUUGGUUGACAUAAGCUUUGGCAAGCGGUCUGCAAGUUCUACAAGGAAUCUCCCAACAUUAUCAGCACCAACACUAUCUCUUGCGUAUUCUUUUGGGUCAGCCCGACCUAUUUCCCUAACCAGGGAAAUUGCGAGGCUUCCGUCACCAAACUUUUUCUCUGCGGAAGCAACUGCUUCUGCAAGAUGAGGAACAGUGAAAUCAAAUUUGUGGAUCAGAUGCGAGACAGAUGCACUGAUUUGAGAAACUCUCUGAUGCUUUGUGGCAAUUGCUCCAAUUAUCCGGCACAGACCAUUUCUUGUAUCCUCAUCUUUUAACACAUUCUGAUUUUCACAGAGGACAAAAGUACACCUACAUGUUAUGAAAGUGAUGUCAUUCCAAAAAAAAAAGGUGGGUUACUGGAAAGUACUGUAGUCAGUUCCAGAACUUACUUUGAAACGAAAGAGAGAUAUCGUUCAUCAGUUCCUCCAGGACCAAAAAGCAGUGAAAGGUCAGCUUCAAGAGAAUUGGCAACUAGACUCAUGAUCCUGCCUCUUUGAGCUUCCCAAUUCCAAGCAUAUACAUGAUUCUUCUUUCGACCGUGUGCUGUCACCUAAGUUCUCAUGAAAAAAUGAAGUCAACUCAAAAAACAAGAGCAUAAAUAAUCUUUAGGAUAAUUGUAUCUUCUGCAGAAAAGUCACCUUAGCCCCUGUGCCGCUUUCAGCAGCAGAUUCCUCUGUGAGAACAAUAGAAAUGAUAAAGAAGGAGUAGAUCUUGAGGGCAUUGCGGUGUGAGGCAAUGCGAUCAGUGAUCGGGGUAGUAUCAGAAGGGGAUGACAUGGAUGCCCGGGAAAGUGAGUCUAUGUUGGGUAGAAGGACACUGAGGUUGGAGCGCAAGGUCUCAACAAUGUUAAACUUAAGGGCUGGGGGUAAGCAAUUGAAAUCACGAACAAUAGAAUAGAUGGCAUCGAACACCUCCUGUUCCUCAAUGCAGAAGAGCUCCUUAUCAGAAAGAUCAAAUGAUGCACCUUCAGUUUGAAUCAGAAUAAGAAAAAUAGUCAGUUCACUUAACAAGAUCUUUCAUUCAAAAAAUAAAGCACCAAAACUAGCUAGAUCUCUAAUUUUUUUAAUAAUAACUUUCUAAUUGCACGUUGCCACAGGUUAGAACAGCCAACACUGUCAAUAGUAAGACUGUAGCAUGAAAAAUUGAAAAAUAAGGGGAAAGGUCUAUUCCCAUCAAGCAAUUGCUAAUAUUUUGUUUUGAUGGAACAGUGAUUGCUAAUAUUACAGAGACGACAAUGGAGAAUAAAGAUUUAUGAAUAAUUAAAAUAGCAGGGUUAUGUAGGGCCACUGAGGCAAAACUUAUAAUAGCUUGUUGGCUUCUCGCACCCACCUUUUCUGAAAUCAGAUCAAGUUUCUUAACCCAGCCAUGUUUAGUGCGGUAAGAUACUAAAGCAACUGCAAGACUUCCGAUUUCAAAAUUGGUUGCAAGCAAGCUCAGACGCUUCUGUGGAAGCGAACGCGAGCAUUUGUCUGCAAACUCAUGUAUUUACAUGCACGCACCGAAUUGCUUGAGAGAGAGAAAAAAAUAGGGAUGCCAGGUUGCCAGCUACAUCCAAAUCAGAAGCUCCGACUAGCUACUGUUCAACAAAACCCUAUUCUAGUGGAUUUUAACCAAGUGACGAUCAAAACCUGAAUCCAAAACUAGGAAUUCUUAACGACUGGUACAACUCGACCAAACAACGAACCCAGCGGCGGCUGGGAGAUGGCGGCACGUACCCUUGACGAACUCCUCGAGGUCGGCGGCGCGGAGGGUGGCGACGGCGACGGGAUUCUGCGGCCGGAGCGAGGGCUCCUCGUCUCCGUCGCCGUCGGUGUCCCGCUCCAGAUCCCGCAGGCUCGACGGGAACACGAACGGCGGGGCCAUCUGGCCGCGGGAGGACGCCGGCGAGCGGAGGAUGGGGAGGGGGAGGCGGAGGGGUUUGGGCUGGGGAGUGGGGAAUGGGAGGGGAAGAGUGGCGAGUGUUUCGAAAUCGAGAGCGGGAGCCGUGAGAUUUCGUGAGGUUGUCCUGACUGUACAAAGGGCCCACGCGUCGUCGCGUGUGAAGGUGGCACCGGUGGUUUGAUUCGAACCGUUUGAAUAGGCGGGGCUAGGGCCUCGUUUAGUUUCGAAAAUUUUUGAGAAAUUGAUAUUGUAGCACUUUCGUUUGUAUUUGACAAAUAUGAUCUAAUUAUGGAUUAACUAGGCUCAAAAGAUUCGUCUCGUCAAUUCCGACCAAACUGUGCAAUUAGUUUUUAUUUUCGUCUAUAUUUAAUACUUCAUACAUACGUCUAAAGAUUCGAUAUGACGGAGAAUAUGAAAAAUUUUGCAAAAUUUCCAGAGAACUAAACAAGGCCUAGCUCGUGACCUCGUGUUGACUGUUUUUCUUUUCUUUUCUUUUUGAUAAAUGAGAUCUUGUUUAGUUCCGAAAAGUGAAAAGUUUUCGGUACUGUAGCACUUUUGUUUGUUUGUGACAAAUAUUAUCCAAUCAUGGACUAACUAGGAUCAAAAGAUUCGUCUCGUGAUUUACAGCUAAACUGUGUAAUUAGUUUUUGUUUUCGUCUAUAUUUAAUGUUUCAUGCAUGUGCCACAAGAUUCGAUGUGACGGAAAAUCUUAAAAACUUUUUAGUUUUCAGGGUGAACUAAACGAGGCCUGAGUUCGUGUUAACUGUUGAGUAAAACCCACUGCUAGAUCGAUCAAAUAACUAAAAUAUUCCCGUUUUCACAAUAGACUACAAUUGCUCUUAUGCAACUAGGCCCUGUUUGGUUCUCAAAAAUUUUACAAUUUUUUUAAAAGAUUCUUUGUCACAUCGAAUUUUGCGGCACAUACAUGAAGCAUUAAAUAUAGAUAAAAAAUAACUAAUUGCACAGUUAUCUAUAAUUUGUGGUAUAAAUUUUUCGAGUCUAAUAAGUCCACGAUUGAAUAAUAAUUAUCAAAUAUAAACGAAACUACGAAAGUGUUAUAAUAGCCAUACUUCUUCUCUAAAACCCAAAAUUUUUCAAGAUUUCUCGUCACAUCAAAUCUUUAGACACAUGCAUAGAGUAUUAAAUAUAGAUAAAAUUAAAAUCUAAUUGUACAUUUUAUCUAUAAUUUGCAAGACGAAUUUUUUAAGCCUAAUUAGUCCAUAAUUAGACAAUAUUUAUUAAAUACGGAGUACAAAUGAAAAUAUUACAUUGUUUAAAAAAAAAAUCGUUGUGGAACUAAACACGCGGGAGGUGGCAAGGUUAGCUGGGCGUGUGCUCCAGCACAGGUGUAUGCGAGCUGUGGUCUCACGCCUCGUUUAGUUCAUCCAAAAAUUAAAAAAAAAAUUAAGAUUCUCCGUCACAUCGAAUUUUGGGACACAUACAUGAAGUAUUAAAUAUAGAUAAAAACAAAAACUAAUUGUACAAUAUACCUAUAAAUUAUGAGAUAAAUUUUUUGGUCUAAAUAGUCCAUAAUUGAAUAAUAUUUAUUAAAUAAAAAUGAUUUUUCGGAACUAAACAAGGCCUCGGACAAAAGCAUCGAUGGGGCUACGGUACACAAUUGAUUCUUCCAACCCAGACAUACAGUACCAUCUUUUCAUGGUCUAAUCGUUUGUAACUUUAACUUUUGUCAUAAUUUUUAUGUGCUUGCUCUCUCCCAACGCGCUCCAAGGUGUGUGCUUCAUUUUUUGUCAACCGAAGCUAUCGCAGCUCCUCCAGGAUCUGAUCGCAAAAGAAGGCUCUUGCAGGAACCUCUAAGGGCUUCUGCAACGGAAGUUAAUAGAGGUGUUGGUCUCAGGGAAAAGAGAAAGACCACGUAGAUUAAAAAAGUAUGAGACUGUAUUUUCUCCAACGCAAACUAUCAUAGUCGUACAGACGACGUUAGUGUUGUCAGCUGUGUUCAAGAGCGUAAAUCAGAGUGAGCCAGUGACUUUUCUCUUGCUGGUUAACCUCCAACGCGCUCCUCGUUGGGUGCUCUGUCUUUUCGUCAGGUGAAGCACUCGGCUCCUCUGCAGGCUAACAUGACACACUGCGGAGCAGCACUUCGACUCAACGUGGCCUUCAAAUGCGGACGUUGAGUCUGGAACCACCCGCCACCUUGGCGCGUUGGGGCUGGCCUAAGACCAGUAUCAGUUGAGGUUUCACCAGGAUGUCAUGUACAUUUAUUAAAGCGACAUGUCAGCAAAACUGCACUUUUUGCAUAAAAUGAAGAGGAGAGAGAAGGAAGUAGUUUCACUAUGGUGAAACUCUGGGCGUUGUUUCCCACGCGGUGAAACGGGAUGAAAUUCCCACUGAAGGCCACAUCGUUUCACCAUCUUGCAUGUGAUCCAAUCAUUUUGCAGCAAUUAAAUGCUUUGCUUAGCCUUGGGAACAACAAAGUGAAAUGCUUCAUUGCUGGGGUUAUUUCAUAGAUGGUUUCAUUUCAAUCUUGAUAACGUGUUGGUAUGUGAAACCGUGCAGUGACACCGUCCAUUGAGACUGCGUAGUUUCAUGACACAGUUAUCAAGACUAUAAACUAGGUAACCGAGCCACAUUAGUUUUAUGGGGAUGAAACACCUCUCUCAUCAUAUGAAACUCCUUCAUUUAAUGACUCUGCCAAGUCAGCAAUUUUGCUUAUGUGUCAUUAUAUUUAAUAUGAAAGACACUUUCAUAAAACAUGCAUUGAGACUGACCUAACAGUCUACGAAGCCAGGGGCGGAUCCCAAGGGGGGCUGGGUUGGCUCCACUGCCCAUUAAGUUACUGUUAAUUAGCCUUAAAUUCUUAUUAAUCCUUAGCUUUAAUUCUAAAUAUUUACUAGUUAGCUUCUCCUUUGAUCUCAUCCUGGAUCCGCCACUGUACGAAGCAUACAUCCGUGAUGAUUUGAACGCCAAAUAUUGACACGGAGGAUGGAGCUAAUGUACACGUUGUAGCGCUGGGGUGGCCUAAGACGAUAUGAUAUGAGAGAGAAGCAUGUCUCUUUUGAGCAUCCACAUUCAUUCCGCAUGAGGUCCAAGGCACUCAACUUUUAUAUUAUUUGCUUAUUUUUUAGCCCAAUUACCAUAAUACUCCCUCAGUCUCAUAAUAGAUGAGAAAGAUAUAUGUCUUUGGAUUCAUUGAUGGCGCUCACCUUGUCUUGCUAAGCAAAGUUUACAAGGUUUAGUUCCUUUAUUUACUCCAUUUACCAUUGUUUGGUCAAGAGAACCAAUUUGGCUCACCUUUGUUGGCGAGGUUAGCUUUGUGUCGACGAAAGCUAGUCGGCAGUCUACCUUGGGGUAUACCCACGGUAGUAGUUUAUCGGUAGACGGUGCGCAAACUACGAACUCGAUGGUGACGCAAGACACGGACAAGCUUUUUAUCCAGGUUCGGCCGCCGAGUUGGCGUAAUACCUACGUCCUGCGUCUGGUUGUAUUGAUUUGUGUUGAGAGAAUAUGAUGUAUGACUUGUCCUCUAGGGGACCCCUGCCCCUCCUUAUAUAUUCUGAAGGGACAGAGUUACAAGCAAAGUAUCCUAUUUGGUACAAAAUCUUGUAGCCUUGCGGUGCACGCCGACCAGUCGUGCGCCGCACGUCUUCAUCUUGUGGGCCGAGCCACCUCUGAUGGUGCGGCCCAUAUAGGCCCAUGAGGGUAUAGGGGUUUAUACCCCCACAGCUAGUCCCCGAGCACCAUGUAUUGUGAUGUAACACGCCGUCUUGAGCUUCUUCGAUCAGCGAGGCUUGACGUCUUCAAUAAACAGGAAAGUCGCCCAAACAGUUGCAACGGUAUUUUGACCAACUCAAAAGACAGUUGAUCAACAUUGACAUCGAAGAAGCAGGUUGUUCGAAGAAUGCAUGGUGCUCUUAAUUAAAAAAGAUUUCUUUCCUGGUGAAGUGUGCCCACUUUACUUUUCUGAAAAGUAUAGUCUUUCAAAAAGCAAGCAUAUUCACCGCAAGGUGAAGUGUGCCCACUUAGUCCCCGAGCCUGGUAGUAGGUGACGUAGGCACGUGGUGCCAGGGUCAAAAGAAAAGUCCUCAAAGAAAUUCUGAAACUGAGAUGUAUCGCCAGAUGCAUUGUACCGAUGUAGUCCCCGAGCUUGCUGGAAGGCGAAGUAUGAGCCUUGUAGCAAGGUUUAAAAAGUUGAAUUUACCAGUCCCCGAGCAUAUCAUGCUCGUAUGCAAUUGAAUAGACUAAUCGACCAGUCCCCGAGCAUAGAACGCUCGGUGGUCGGUACAGUCCCCGAAUUCUCAAAUUGGUGGGCUGGUCGACCAGUCCCCGAGCGUGUAGUGCUCGGUGGUCGGUACAGUCCAAAAACUCUCAAAUUGGUGAGCUGAUCGAACAGUCCCCGAGCGUAUAGUGCUCGGUGGUCGGCAUAGUCCCCGAGCACGGCGUAGGGACCGGUGGACAAGUCCCCGAGCGUGGUUGGGAACGUAAACAUGCUCGGUGGUCGGCACAGUCUUCGAGCACAGCAUAGAGAGUAGUCGACAAGUCCCCGAGCGUGGUUGGGAACGUAAACGUGCUCGGUGGUCGGAGCAGUCCCCGGGCACAGCGUAGGGAAUAGUCGACGAGUCUCCAAGCGUAGCUUGUCGACUGGGCCAAACUCCUGAAAAAUAAAUAUAAAGAAUUGGUAGUACAUGAUGUAUAAAUAAACUUUAGAUAAAAAAUCAGUACUAAGAUAAGUUUUAGAUUUUUUGUUAUAAAAUUAGCACGAGUAGUUAAUUCGUCCUAGAGCUUGUACCAGCUCUGGUUUAGCCAACAAUCAGCAUGAGGUGCGGAACCUAGACACGCGUGGGAUUGCCAGCCUCGCCAGAGAGCUACUGCCGACCACCCGGAACGCAGAGAGCGGAUCUCAUGCACGUGUAGGGAGGAGUCGGAGACAGUACCGGCUCUGGAAAACUCGUGUAGGAGAAAAAACUAGUCGGCUAAACAAAAAGUUGUUUUGAAGGAUAAUAAAAAAUAUUAUGCCAAAAAUAAAUAAAAUAUUAGAAUUGUACUUAUCUUUGGACGAAAGUCUGGUCGGGAGAGUUGCUUGACUUGUCGUGAUGGUGGUCGCGGCUGUCGUAGCGCCGUUCUUCGUGGCGAUUAUUAUUGCGACUCGUGGUCAGAGCAAGUAGGCCACACAACUUGGUCGAUAGCCUGAGCAGGUCGGUGUCGUCGAUCUGCCUCCCUUUGUAGCAGAGAAGCGGGUGACGCGUUGUCGGCGUGGUCGGAGACGUUGCUGGAGUAGUUGAAGUCGUAGCCAGCGUGGUUGAAGCCGCCGCCGACGUCGAUGAAGAAGUGGUUGGCGCAGAUCGGAUCUACACCUCCUCCGUGGUCGUGACGGUGAAGCUGUUGAAGCUGACGGUGAACGUGAAGUCGCCCGCCAUGGCCACGAAGUCGGGGAUAAUGACCAUCUCGUUCGUCGGGAGAGCUGUACGCACACCCCCUACCUGGCGCGCCACUGUCGACGAAAGCUAGUCGGCAGUCUACCUUGGGGUAUACCCACGGUAGUAGUUUAUCGGUAUACGGUGCGCAAACUACGAACUCGAUGGUGACGCAAGACACGGACAAGCUUUUUAUCCAGGUUCGGCCGCCGAGUUGGCGUAAUACCUACGUCCUGCGUCUGGUUGUAUUGAUUUGUGUUGAGAGAAUAUGAUGUAUGACUUGUCCUCUAGGGGACCCCUGCCCCUCCUUAUAUAUCCUGAAGGGACAGAGUUACAAGCAAAGUAUCCUAUUUGGUACAAAAUCUUGUAGCCUUGCGGUGCACGCCGACCAGUCGUGCGCCGCACGUCUUCAUCUUGUGGGCCGAGCCACCUCUGAUGGUGCGGCCUAUAUAGGCCCAUGAGGGUAUAGGGGUUUAUACCCCCACACUUUGUCAACAAGGAAACAAAGUUACCUAACUGAGAGAUCUAAACUUGCCAUAUAAGCAGAGAUGUAUUGUAAAAAGAUAAAUGUGUAUUGAAAAAGUGAAAACAACAACUAAUUUAGGACACACGUAAAAGGCCAGGGAAACAACGAAGGGAGUAAAAGGCCAGGGAAACAAGUAUCAUACGACGAAGGGAGUAUGGUAACGAGUGAUUUUUUUUAAUCAAAGGUUCUUUUUAAGGGAAUACACUGGCUUCGGCAAUAGGCAAGAUUGUAGUAGCAUAAUGAGCUACAGGAUCAGCUGAUUCUCGUGGGACAGAGACAUCAGCCCUAUAUUUUUUUAGUUUCAAUGGAUGGUUAUCUACAAGACAUAUUGGUCUUGCUUAGUCUAAAUUUUUUUCUUGUUUCCGGUUAUCCAGCUGGUUGACUGUAAGCCCCUUAGGUGAAACUUUGUAAUAAUUGAUCUGAUUCUAUCCAUAGAUAGAUGAAGCCGGAUAUGAACUAUCCAUUAUUAAAAAAACUAAUGAGGUGUGAUGUUAAGACCUAUUGUAUCCAUCUCAAUAGUCCCUUUUUUUACAAAAUCAAUAAAACCUUGAGCUCACCGAAUAAUAAAAAAGCACUAGUGUACCAAAUAAGUGUCAUUCAUUAAUUUGAGAUUUUUUUUAUAUUAAACCUAUCAAGAUACACGCAUUGAUAAUACUAUUUUUCUACUAAUUUAGUUAAACUUAAGAAAACAAUUGAUUUAGUGGAACCAAAUAUUACACUUAUGUAAGAUGUUAAUGUUUUUUUUUGUAUAAAAGCAAUGUUUAUCUGUGUAAAAAAACACUUUUUUCUCAGGAACAUAGCACAUUUGCGCUAUAGACUACAGUAUUGCACCGAAACUCUAAGGCCUUGUUUGGUUCAUGCCGAUAAAUUUUAUUGUCUAUCACAUUAAAUGUUUGAACACAUAUAUGAAAUAUUAAAUAUAAGACUAUUUACAAAACUUAAAACGCAACUAAAGAAUAAUUUGCGAGACGAAUCUUUUGAGCGUAAUUAGUCUAUGAUUGGUUACUAUUACCAAAUAAACAAAAAUGUUACAAUACUUAUUAAACUUUAACACUACCAACAAAACAUCCCUUAAAUCUUUCGCCAAAAAAAAAACAUCCCCUAAAUAAAUCUCUUAAACAUGAAGAGGCUGCAUACCUGGGUGGAUACGCCUGCCUCCCUAUCAAGGGUAGCAUCGAGCACACAUGUCCCCCAAGGAGGUGUCGCCGGACACGUCAAGGCUCAUAACGCUCAUGUGCCUCGCGGCCUCGCCCUGUAUUCCAGUUGAUAUGCAGUGCGAGAAAAAAAAAACUCUAGACUAUCUAUCCUUUCCAAUAAUCAUAGCGAUACAGUACAGUUCAUUUUCAUCCCUCAAAGAGUACAUUUCAUCCCUCUGGACUGUCUGAGCAUGGUAAUCUCAAAAAAAGAAUUAUCUGAGCAUGGUGUAAUUGUUAUUCGCGCUCAAAUUGAAGGGGGUGUGAAGGCUGUCACAACGAACGGAACACUCACUAUCAAAUUGAUAGAGUUCUUCUAGUAUUUUUAAUUAGUAAUAAAAUACUACCAUUAGUCAUAAUACUAGAAAAUCCUCACUAGGAGACAUUUACUAGAAAAAAUUUGUACUAAAUUUUGAAUGCUAAAACACUAGAAGAAGCCCACAUUAAAAAAUUUAGUUGUGACUCACCCUACAACACGUGCAAGCCAUCUAUUCCCUUAGAGCAACUCCAAGAUCUCUUAGCUAAGAUUAGUAGUCAAAUUUCAUUGCCCUUUUAUAAAAUAGAAAUUUCUUAAAAAAAAAGAAGUCCACAACAACCUUGCUAUUUUAUAAAAUUAGAUAGCCAGUGCCAGUGGUUGGCUAUAUAUCGGACACCGGAAAUUAAGGAAUAACCAACUUUCUAUUUUACAAAACCAGAUAGCACAUCUCUUGGAGCCUACUUUUUACUAUGCAAAUUUUUAAAUAACAUUCACAAUAAGAAUAGCCAAGCUCCUAGAGUUGCUCUUAGCUCUGUUUUCUUUUGGUUCGGGGUAGGAGAAAAGUAGAAAUACUUGUAAACUAGGAAAAAAACUCUCGUGUUCUUGUACCUCAAUAUUAUUAUCGUCCUAGCGUUUGGUAAACUCAGGUGGUUGUCUCCUAUUUGUUGUAAUCUUGCGAGAGCAUCUCCAAGAAUACCCAAUAAUCCUUGUCAAUCCUUGAUUUCUCAGAAGAAUGAAAAAAAUGAUCUCCAACAACUCUCAAACUCAUCUCCCAAUCUUUUGACACUCGGAAAAACUCCUUUAUGCGUAAAGAUACAUGGAUCCCAAUAGUAUCUAUAUUGUUCCCCCGCGCGUUGUAUACAUAGGUCAAUCUAAAGGUGAAAGAGUGUGGGAAAGAAUAAAGACUAAAAAAGUUUCUGAUGUAAAUAUACAAAGAGAAAAAAGAUAUAUAUAAUUGGUUAGAAAUAGUAUAGGAUUCCUGUUGUAAAAUUGUCUUCUAAUGAAUUAUUGGAAACUGUUAGAGAUGAUCUUAUUUAUUUCUCUGAUUACUUUUUGGUAAGUUGGAAAACAUCAUCAUUUUAGGAAAAAUUAUUGGGUUCUUUUGGAGAUGAUGCUCUACUAGCUCACCGAUGAUUGAAUCAACAAUGAACGUGUUGCUUUUUGAAAGUGCGCCUUGAAUUGAAGAGUUUGUGGCGUACAAAUUCACAUGUGACAAUAGUAUUUUUUAGGGGUAGGUUGUGAUAGCAUUGAUAAAACUUUCACUAGUUUUUGAAUCGGACGCUGAUGUUAGUAAUUGGCUUGUUUUAAUGUUUUAUGCCUUGCGCAUUGGAUGGCGUUAUUUGAACGGAGGACGGGAUGAGGACCAAUUUAGCUUUUACCCUAGAGCCAAUUCCGUGUAGACCAUUAUAAAAGAUACAACUUCCUUGCAUGACACCGGUUGACCACCAGUUCACAAAUGUCAUCAGGGUAAAAUGUCCCUACUACUACUUGAAUGGACGUGGACUACUGCAAAAUUUUGCUGAUCCACCACGGCAUGAUACAUUAAGAUGAGCAGUGUGCCUAACUAACCUCCUUUCUCACAAGCAUGGGGUUAAGUCCUUGCAAGGAAGCAGAUAUAAGUGGACUUUGUUUGUAUAUCACAAGAAAAUAAAAUGUCAGUCAUGAUUAUAGAGUGCACAGAAAUAUCAGGUAUGUGUUAUGUGAUUUUUGGUAUUUUCUUAAGGUGGAUAAAAAACAAUACAUGUUGCGUGAAAUAUCUUUUUACAUGAAUUGUGGCAGUGAAAAGUUUAAUUUAUUCCAACACUGUUUAGCUUGAAAAUACAACAUCAUAUACAAAGAAUGAACAGAGCUUGAUUAUGAAUAGGGGUAAAGAGAUUAUGACCAGCAUGCAGAAAUCUGUAGUUGUCAAACAAUUCAAAGCAGUGCAAAACUCUUAUCCUAAUUCUCAAUCAAGUGGCCAGAAAGUCUAGAACGAAUGCAUUCAAAAUAAAUAUUUAUGCAUAGAGAAAGGGGCAAUCCUUUGGGGCUAGGAUUCCUGAAAAGUUCAUUGAUCUUCUCCUAUUCUUGGCAUCAUUGUCAGAACAUGAACCACAAUUUUGCCCUUUUGUUCUCUGGCUUUUCCUAUGACUGCAAUCACCCAAAUAUGCUCUUAUUGAUCCAUAUAUUGAGAUCAAAACAAAGACUGCUUUAAUUAAACAAAAAACAAACAACCAUGCUAUGAAAGGGUUUGAGAUGAUGCCUCAUACAGCCUGCUUAAAAUUGGGCAUUAAUGUAUGUGUAGUACAACCCAAAAUCCCAAAUCGUGUAGCUAUGAUAGUGAAUCUGAUGCAGCAGUGCAGACUCCAGCAUUGAUAAGCCGAAACUAUGUUCAUCGGAAUUCAGGAAGCUCCUGAAUAAUAUGUUACACCAGUUUCAGUUUGACUAUUCAAUAAGAAAAUUACACAAAAUACUUGGCACAUAACCAUCAAAUUAGAUUGGUGAUAAAGGAAAGAACACUUCUCAUUCUUGAAAGCAAAACAACAAUAUCUCUUAAUAAACCACUAUCAAUGAAGAUAUUGGAGUCUGGGAAGUUGAGAAAAUGUGGAUUAGUUCUGAGAUAGACCUUAGGCUUUUGUUCAGUAAAUCAGUAGUUUUUGGCAAAGAUUUUUUUUUUCUUCAGAACUCAGUCACAACCUGCAGUAAAAAAAGGGGGUAAUAGAACAUUAAAUGGGCCAAAUUAGAUGAAGAUACUAAAGUGAAUGGAGAACUACUAAACCUUAGGCAAUGUCACAAACACAAAUGGCAUGGAAGAUUACAAGCAAGAUCUGAUUAUCCACCAACAGGUCAUGCUUGAAUCACUUUGGAUUACCCCCACUCCAGCCACCCCUCGGGAUAGGGAAAGACAGUGGCCAGAGAGCUGUUCUAUGCCAGUAACUUCUUGAAACAUUGGCAAGGUAUUCCAAAAUCAGAAUAACACAGGACUGAGCAGAAACAAGCAGAACAAAAUUUAGACAGAUGAAAAAAAACUAUAUGUUAAAGAGUUAAAAAGGCUGACAUGCUUUCUUGUCUUUAGACACUGAAUUGUAGUCGGUAAAGUUUUGAAAAAUUAAUGAAUAAGAAAGCAAACAAAAUUGCAAUUACAAAUAAUUAUGUAUGACGAAUAUUCAUAAACAACAAAAUGUAAUACUAAAAGACACGUUUUCUACAAAAUAACACUUGAUUACCAUUUCAGUUCUUUUAUUUUCUAUUCCUUAGCCAUUCCGAUUUCCACAGAAUACUUUUUAUUUACAGCUAGUGAAACUCAAGAAACUUUAACAUGUUACUGUGCUAGAAUUGCAUUCUCUUGUGAUGAGAACAUAUUACACCUCCAUGAACUUCCAGCGCCACUAAUCCAGUCCUGCCUUGCCAACAAAAGAAAUUAUAGUACUUCUACAAUGACAUAUCGCUAUUGAGGGAACACAUGCACCGCAACAGUCGAGAUCAAGAACAUCGAUGACAAACUGGUAUGAAGGGGAUGACAGACCCCAUGGAGUUGAUCUGACGUGAGUAUGGCAGAGGAGGCAGCCUCCUCCUCCCUCACAGCUGUAACUGAAACAUGUGAACAUGCACAAAGCAAAAGCACAAUGAGAGCAAUGGGAGAAUAAUGACCAUGUAGAAGAGGAAACAACGAAAUGAAGCAACUCGUACGCCCAUUUUGUCAACAAGAACCAAGGGAAAGUGAUUAGUGCGGAAACAAUGUAAGAUACAGCAGCAACACAAGAUGAAGAGCAGGCAUUUAAUUCCAAAUGUCAUUGCAACCUUAAAAAAAAAUCCCAACAAAAUGGAAUUUCAGUUUGUAUACACGUUACCAAAUCCAAACUUGUAAGGAACAGAAUAUCAAUCCUUCUAGUAUAGUCGGCGUGAUCAAUAAAAUAUUUAUGCACAAAACACUUACUUUGUUGAUGGAGCACUGGAUAACUCAACCGUUUGAAAGCCAAGAUGAUUAACAAGACGGGCUAAUUAAUUAAUGAGAAUUGAAAGGUGCCAAUAAAAUUGACAGGCAUGAAACAAAUCAAACAGAACAGCUUGUGGCAAAAGCAGGUACUGGUGUAUGUAAAGACCAUAAGAGAGAUUAGGAAUCUCGACGAGUGAGCAACAAUUGUGAUUCACUAGCACAGGAGACAUCCAUCAAUGUUUCUAUACGAUAGCAAAAGUAGCAUUAGCAGUAGUAUGCAAGGUGCGAUGAUAAGUACCAGGAUGGUGAUUAACAUUAAGAAAACCAGUAGCAAAUAACAAGGUUCAAACGGAUUACACCGAAUUUAUACAUAAUAACUUAGGGUAGAUGGUUAACGCAAAGGGAAACGACAGAGCUCCAACUAGACUUAAGAGUAGGCUGCAUCUCGCGCGCGCACACAAAAGGUGUUUGAUUCCCGACUUUAGUAGUUCUCCACCUCCACCACAUCGUCUCCUUCGUCGUCAGUGACCUCGGCCUCCGAUUCGUCCACCGCGUAGCCAAAUUUUUCUUGCUGGUCGAUGAGGGCCUCCAGGUAGGCAAGCCUUGUGUCCCUGAGAAGGAUAUCUAGGCGGUAGCUGCGUUGGAAACUCUCUGAAUACUUGGCCAGCUGGUCUUCAGUGAGGUUCCUGGACGGGCAGGGAUGUGUGGCCAUUGCCCUGGUAAAGUCGAUCUGCGCCUUCGUUAUCGUCGUCAACUUCUUGACCAGCACCUUCUUCGUCUUCUUCCCGGCCGGCUGGGCCGCCGUCACCGUGGGAACCACGGUAGGGGGGUCCAGUGUCGCCUCGCUCGCCGCCUUGUACUCCUUCUUGAGCUUCAGGAUCUUUCCCUCCUCUGACUUGACCUUCAUCAGGAUCUUACGAUCCUCCUCCGACUCCAGCUUCAGGAUCCUGAAGACCUCCUCCUCCGACGCCGCCAUCUUAUCACCCUCCUCCGACGACGCCAUCUUAGCCUUCUUAGCCUCCGACUUCAUGCUGCGGGUACGGCGACGGGUCCCCUCCUCUGGCGAAGCCUUCUCAGCCUCCGACUUCAUGCUGCGGGUACGGGGGCGAAGGGACCCCUCCUCCGACGAAGCCUUCUUAGCCUCCGCCGCCUCCGACUUCAUGCGGCGGCUACGGGACCCCUCCUCCGACGAUCGCCCCAUUGCACGCGACCGAACCCUAACCUCCCAGGAUUGUGACGAUGCGGCGGCAGUUGGUUUUGGACACGGAAGAUGGAGAAUCCUGGGUUCCAUCGGAUGCGAAUAGGCCAGGCCUGAACCGCAAGUCCGCAAGCC
Molecule: long non-coding RNA, 23575 nt
Filed under: Sorghum bicolor (sorghum)
Lineage: Eukaryota; Viridiplantae; Streptophyta; Magnoliopsida; Poales; Poaceae
Description: long non-coding RNA (SBIC_LNC003927)
Source: RNAcentral